CCUACGGGAGGCAGCAGUGGGGAAUUUUGGACAAUGGGCGCAAGCCUGAUCCAGCCAUGCCGCGUGCGGGAAGAAGGCCUUCGGGUUGUAAACCGCUUUUGUCAGGGAAGAAACGCUCUGGGUUAAUACCCUGGGGUAAUGACGGUACCUGAAGAAUAAGCACCGGCUAACUACGUGCCAGCAGCCGCGGUAAUACGUAGGGUGCGAGCGUUAAUCGGAAUUACUGGGCGUAAAGCGUGCGCAGGCGGCUUUGCAAGACAGAUGUGAAAUCCCCGGGCUCAACCUGGGAACUGCAUUUGUGACUGCAUGGCUAGAGUACGGCAGAGGGGGAUGGAAUUCCGCGUGUAGCAGUGAAAUGCGUAGAUAUGCGGAGGAACACCGAUGGCGAAGGCAAUCCCCUGGGCCUGUACUGACGCUCAUGCACGAAAGCGUGGGGAGCAAACAGGAUUAGAUACCCCAGUAGUC
Molecule: ribosomal RNA, 465 nt
Filed under: uncultured bacterium
Lineage: Bacteria
Description: bacterial SSU rRNA
Rfam family: Bacterial small subunit ribosomal RNA
Source: RNAcentral